CCUACGGGGCGCAGCAGUGGGGAAUAUUGGACAAUGGGCGAAAGCCUGAUCCAGCCAUGCCGCGUGUGUGAAGAAGGCCUUCGGGUUGUAAAGCACUUUCAGUGGGGAAGAAAGCCUUGGGGCUAAUACCCUCGAGGAAGGACAUCACCCACAGAAGAAGCACCGGCUAACUCCGUGCCAGCAGCCGCGGUAAUACGGAGGGUGCGAGCGUUAAUCGGAAUUACUGGGCGUAAAGCGCGCGUAGGCGGUCUGAUAAGCCGGUUGUGAAAGCCCCGGGCUCAACCUGGGAACGGCAUCCGGAACUGUCAGGCUAGAGUGAAGGAGAGGAAGGUAGAAUUCCCGGUGUAGCGGUGAAAUGCGUAGAGAUCGGGAGGAAUACCAGUGGCGAAGGCGGCCUUCUGGACUGACACUGACGCUGAGGUGCGAAAGCGUGGGUAGCAAACAGGAUUAGAUACCCGUGUAGUC
RNAcentral lists this ribosomal RNA (465 nucleotides) under Vreelandella stevensii. RNAcentral's name for it is "partial 16S ribosomal RNA". It matches the Rfam family "Bacterial small subunit ribosomal RNA", at positions 338 to 795 of the family's 1533-position model. The record is from RNAcentral. Lineage: Bacteria; Pseudomonadati; Pseudomonadota; Gammaproteobacteria; Oceanospirillales; Halomonadaceae.